CUUAACAUCCAGAGAAUUUAGCAGAGAUGCUUUAGUGCCUUCGGGAACUCUGAGACAGGUGCUGCAUGGCUGUCGUCAGCUCGUGUUGUGAAAUGUUGGGUUAAGUCCCGNAACGAGCGCAACCCUUAUCCUUUGUUGCCAGCACGUAAUGGUGGGAACUCAAAGGAGACUGCCGGUGAUAAACCGGAGGAAGGUGGGGAUGACGUCAAGUCAUCAUGGCCCUUACGAGUAGGGCUACACACGUGCUACAAUGGCGCAUACAAAGAGAAGCGACCUCGCGAGAGCAAGCGGACCUCAUAAAGUGCGUCGUAGUCCGGAUUGGAGUCUGCAACUCGACUCCAUGAAGUCGGAAUCGCUAGUAAUCGUAAAUCAGAAUGUUACGGUGAAUACGUUCCCGGGCCUUGUACACACCGCCCGUCACACCAUGGGAGUGGGUUGCAAAAGAAGUAGAUAGCUUAACCUUCGGGAGGGCGUUUACCACUUUGUGAUUCAUGACUGGGGUGAAGUCGUAACAAGGUAGGCGUAGUGCU
Molecule: ribosomal RNA, 530 nt
Filed under: uncultured bacterium
Lineage: Bacteria
Description: bacterial SSU rRNA
Rfam family: Bacterial small subunit ribosomal RNA
Source: RNAcentral